CCAAUAGCGUAUAUUAAAGUUGUUGCAGUUAAAAAGCUCGUAGUUGAAUUUCGGGGUUAGUAGGUUGGUCAUGCCUCUGGUAUGUACUGGUCUCACUGAUUCCUCCUUCCUGAUGAACCGUAAUGCCAUUAAUUUGGUGUUGCGGGAAAUUUGGACUGUUACUUUGAAAAAAUUAGAGUGUUUAAAGCAAGCUAACGCUUGAAUACAUUAGCAUGGAAUAAUGAAAUAGGACGUUCGAUCCUAUUUUGUUGGUUUCUAGGAUUGACGUAAUGAUUAAUAGGGAUAGUUGGGGGCAUUAGUAUUCAAUUGUCAGAGGUGAAGUUCUUGGAUUUAUUGAAGACUAACUACUGCGAAAGCAUUUGCCAAGGAUGUUUUCAUUAAUCAAGAACGAAAGUUAGGGGAUCGAAGACGAUCAGAUACCGUCGUAGUCUUAACCAUAAACUAUGCCGACUAGGGAUCGGAUGAUGUUAAUUUUUUAAUGACUCAUUCGGCACCUUACG
Molecule: ribosomal RNA, 500 nt
Filed under: uncultured Glomeromycotina
Lineage: Eukaryota; Fungi; Glomeromycota
Description: partial small subunit ribosomal RNA
Rfam family: Eukaryotic small subunit ribosomal RNA
Source: RNAcentral